GCAAGUAUUGCAUUACCUUCUACAUUAUCUUUCCAGUGUCAAUCCUCGUUAACUAAGCUUGCUAACAGCUUCCCUUCAGAUCUUAUAAAACAGAUAAAUAUUCCACACUUUAGCUAUACUUGCAUUAUGUAAUCUUCUUAACCAAUAGAAACUGAAAAUAAGUUCAGAACAUAAUACACUUUUUCAGCCAUAUAGUGUGUAGACCAGAUAAUACAACAAAUCAAUUUCCAGCACAUACAAUGAAGAAUUAAUUUACCCAGAGAUUUGCAGAGGUUAAGUGGUGGAUGUGAAUGCUUACAAAGUCCACUCCAAUUGUACUGAUAUAUAGGUGUCAACGUAUAAAUCAUCUUGUUUGACAGAAAAAUAAGAUAUUAAGAAGUGUAACCCGCACUUCUGAAAAUAUAACUCAAGGUAAAAGAAUGAAACCAAUAAACAAAAUAGAGAACAAUCAAUUGAAACAAAUUUAAAUCAAAUUCAAUCGCAGCGAACAAUCCUAUUGUAAUUCAUGAUAUAGUGAAUUCCUCUAGCAAAGCGAACACUAAUCCUCGAUAACAACAAUACUAAUGCAAAAAUCAAUUUGUAGUACAAAGAUAAAUAAGCAAAAUUCUUAAAUGAUAUGAUUUGAAACAUGGAAAAUUAUCAUUAGCAAAACAAUUAAGCUUUUACCACUGAAAAUUAUCAUUAGCAAAACAUGAAAAAUCACAUAAAAGAAAUGAAAUGUGAAAUAAAAGCUAGUACUGAUGCAAUUAAAUGUAAUAUAUCAAUGACAUCUCAAAACUAACAUAAGAAUUGGUUUCUGCAUCAAUCAACAUGUCAUAU
This 819-nucleotide long non-coding RNA is filed under the name Trifolium pratense (red clover). RNAcentral describes it as "long non-coding RNA (TPRA_LNC007064)". Lineage: Eukaryota; Viridiplantae; Streptophyta; Magnoliopsida; Fabales; Fabaceae. The record is from RNAcentral.